GUAGGUGGCAAGCGUUGUCCGGAAUUAUUGGGCGUAAAGCGCGCGCAGGCGGUUCUUUAAGUCUGAUGUGAAAGCCCACGGCUCAACCGUGGAGGGUCAUUGGAAACUGGAGAACUUGAGUACAGAAGAGGAAAGCGGAAUUCCACGUGUAGCGGUGAAAUGCGUAGAGAUGUGGAGGAACACCGGUGGCGAAGGCGGCUUUCUGGUCUGUAACUGACGCUGAGGCGCGAAAGCGUGGGGAGCAAACAGGAUUAGAUACCCUGGUAGUCCACGCCGUAAACGAUGAGUGCUAAGUGUUAGGGGUUUCCCGCCCCCCUUAGUGCUGCAGCUAACGCAUUAAGCACUCCGCCUGGGGAGUACGGCCGCAAGGCUG
This 373-nucleotide ribosomal RNA is filed under the name uncultured organism. Its description in RNAcentral is "partial 16S ribosomal RNA". It matches the Rfam family "Bacterial small subunit ribosomal RNA", at positions 527 to 896 of the family's 1533-position model. The record is from RNAcentral.